UCGAGGAUCUUUCGCAAUGGGCGAAAGCCUGACGAAGCGACGCUGCGUGAGCGAUGAAGGCCUUCGGGUCGUAAAGCUCUUUCGCGCAAGAACAAGGAAGGUUCGUGAAUAACGGGCUAACUUGAGGGUACUGCGUAAAGAAGCACCGGCUAACUCCGUGCCAGCAGCUGCGGUAAUACGGAGAGUGCAAGCAUUAAUCGGAAUUAUUGGGCGUAAAGGGCGCGUAGGCGGUAAGAUAAGUCAGAUGUGAAAUUCCGGAGCUCAACUUCGGAGCUGCAUUUGAAACUAUUUUGCUCGAGGAUUGGCGGAGAAAACGGAAUUCCACGUGUAGCGGUGAAAUGCGUAGAUAUGUGGAAGAACACCUGUGGCGAAAGCGGUUUUCUAGCUAAUACCUGACGCUGAGGCGCGAGAGCAAGGGGAGCAAACAGGAUUAGAUACCCCCGUAGUCC
RNAcentral lists this ribosomal RNA (449 nucleotides) under uncultured bacterium. RNAcentral describes it as "bacterial SSU rRNA". It matches the Rfam family "Bacterial small subunit ribosomal RNA", at positions 355 to 796 of the family's 1533-position model. The record is from RNAcentral.